This is a long non-coding RNA of Acinonyx jubatus (cheetah), 843 nucleotides long. RefSeq lists it as uncharacterized. The transcript is spliced from 4 exons. The record is from RefSeq and is a predicted model, not a curated record. NCBI's taxonomy places the organism in Eukaryota, Metazoa, Chordata, Mammalia, Carnivora, Felidae.
CUCCCCCGCCCCGCCUCAUCUCCCCACCGGGGGAGACCCGAGACCCGUCCCAGGCGCAGGGUGGGGGCGCUGGGCAGCCAGACCUGAACCCUCCAAACCAGGCCUUUGCUGGAUGGAGCGCCUCUGCCUCUCAGAACCUCGGUUUCCCCGUCGUCGUCGGUCACAUGGAAAGGAAAGUAGCGCCCCUUUGUCUGGACUGGGAGGCUUAAGGGAGGAAAGCGGAAGCGCUUAGUCCCGGAGUGCUCUCAGAAUGUUAGCUAUUGUUCAUUGAUGCGCUUAACGAGUGGGUUUUGAGUACCUACUAUGGAUGAAGCGUUCCAGAAGUCUCUGCAGACACAGAGCUCAGCGAUUCUCUGAGCGUGGUGCUCCCUCAUGGCCAGCAGCAUCGGCAUCCUUCCAGAGCUUGUUAGAAAUGCAAAUUCUUGGAGCCCCUCGGUGGCUCAGUCCGUGCGACUCUUGAUUUCGGCUUGGGUGACCAUCUCACGGCUGAUAUUCAGGGAGAAACCAAAGGUGAUCUAUUGGCCACGGGACAGGAGAUUGGAUUUAACCCAUCAACUCUGACCCUCCGGGAGAAGCAAAGCAUUUCCAUUGGGGAGCUGUCUGACCAAUCCAGUUCUCCGUGUCUGCGAGGGAGUUAACCAAGAAUAUCAAAGGCAUUCUUGAAUCGGUCAUCUAUCACGAAACAUUCUCCUCCUCCCGUCCCCCACCCUGCUCCCAUCAUCCCCCUCCUCCCGAGCAGCAGCGGCCACAGGGGAGAAAAAAACCCCCAACCAUUUACCAACAUGAUUAGCAGAGGAGACAAGGGAUGGUGACGCAGAUUAUUUAAGCCAAUUUGUUGCCAAG